CCUCCGCCGCUUCUCCCGCGCCUUAUCCUCCCAGUUCCUCUCUCCUAGCUAAUCUCCAACCCUACACCAUCCUCUCCUCCUUGACCGCCUUUCUCCUCCAUUGGAAAAGGAGCACGGGCUCGUCUCUGCGUAGCCGCUACAAGGACGUCGGGUGGAGGGAUCAGUGGUCGGUGGUAAGAGUAGGAGCACACGGGGGCGGACGGCCUCCCUGCGCGACGGUGGAUACUUCACCGACGGCCAGCCAAUACGUCGGACAGAAGAAGAAGAUGGCGUGGGCGAUGAUAUGGUGCGGUGGAAGAAUACGGCGUGGGCGAUUCCGGUGAGAUAUGCCUCCAGCGACGCAAUAAUGUGAAGAUCCUCUCCACAAGCCAUACUCUUGCGUUGCAGCGAGAGGUCGUUAGAUUCGUCGUGCUAGACGUAGCCGUCGCCCACUUGCUCCACCUAAAGUUCCUCCUCCCCACCACGGGUAGAUGCCGGUGAGGCCAGCCUUCCCUGCACGUGCAGGUACUCCCCCGCCCCCUUUCCCUAUCUCUCUUCCCUGACCCCGUCUCUCGAUUGUACACAGAGAGAGACCCGUGGUGGCAGCACAACAGUGCUUCAGUGGAUAGGUUGUGAAAGAAAGUUCAGAUUAGGGACUAUCAUUCUCAUAGAGUCAUAGUAUGCUUUGCUGAGGUAGAUUUUUCAAGUUUACCAGGUUUAGUUAGGUUUUUGUACCCUUGUUGAGAUGGCAUGACACUGAUAAAUUUAUUUUGUUGACGUAGCUACUUUGUUCCCCAAUUUUACCGAUGCAUUUUAUUCUUAUAUCUACCUGAUUUCUUAACCGAUUCAUCUGUUGGCUUAGAUAGUACUUCAAAUUAUCCGGUGAUGCACACAUUUUAUUUCAAAAGAAAAUUUGAUUGAUUGAGGAGCUGCACACUAUCUCAGUUUGUAUAUGCUUUCAACGUCGAAAAUAAUUUAGCCAUGUUUAUGUUUUUUUGCUUAGGUGAGCCUUCCCAUGAUGAUGAAUUUGCAUAAGAAUGCAGAUUUUCCUUGGGAAUCCUACUAGAUGGGUAGAGAUCUUGAUAGAUUUACUUAAUAUUCAGGAGCCCAAGAGUAAUGUACUGUCUUCUCUAAUUUGGAAAUGAAGUAUGGUGUGCGGAGUGGAUGUACUAACAUAGUAUGUGCUUUUGUGCUGAAUUACAUGGAAGGUCAAGAUGACCUCACCUACUGAAAUGUUUUUUUGGUUAUGUUUAUUAAUCUAUGGAUGCCUACUGGCCCUAAAUAUGUUUGGUCAAAAUGUUUUCCUAUGAAGUUUCUAUGCUAUAUAAGAAAGUUAGUCUGAAAUAUUUGAAGUCAUAUUCUAUUGUAUAGUUGCAUAGCUAAUUCAGUUGCAUUAUUUCAGAGCAGGUGUUUGUAUCUAUCUUAUUUUUCAG
RNAcentral lists this long non-coding RNA (1412 nucleotides) under Hordeum vulgare. Its description in RNAcentral is "long non-coding RNA (HVUL_LNC014828)". The record is from RNAcentral. Lineage: Eukaryota; Viridiplantae; Streptophyta; Magnoliopsida; Poales; Poaceae.